This 497-nucleotide ribosomal RNA is filed under the name uncultured bacterium. Its description in RNAcentral is "partial 16S ribosomal RNA". It matches the Rfam family "Bacterial small subunit ribosomal RNA", at positions 28 to 507 of the family's 1533-position model. The record is from RNAcentral.
GACGAACGCUGGCGGCGUGCCUAAUACAUGCAAGUUGAGCGCUGAAGGUUGGUACUUGUACCAACUGGAUGAGCAGCGAACGGGUGAGUAACGCGUGGGGAAUCUGCCUUUGAGCGGGGGACAACAUUUGGAAACGAAUGCUAAUACCGCAUAAAAACUUUAAACACAAGUUUUAAGUUUGAAAGAUGCAAUUGCAUCACUCAAAGAUGAUCCCGCGUUGUAUUAGCUAGUUGGUGAGGUAAAGGCUCACCAAGGCGAUGAUACAUAGCCGACCUGAGAGGGUGAGCUGCCACACUGGGACUGAGACACGGCCCAAACUCCUGCGGGAGGCAGCAGUAGGGAAUCUUCGGCAAUGGACGAAAGUCUGACCGAGCAACGCCGCGUGAGUGAAGAAGGUUGUCGGAUCGUAAAACUCUGUUGGUAGAGAAGAACGUUGGUGAGAGUGGAAAGCUCAUCAAGUGACGGUAACUACCCAGAAAGGGACGGCUAACUACGUG